RNAcentral lists this unclassified non-coding RNA (578 nucleotides) under Hevea brasiliensis (rubber tree). Lineage: Eukaryota; Viridiplantae; Streptophyta; Magnoliopsida; Malpighiales; Euphorbiaceae. The record is from RNAcentral.
GAUCGAUCAUCAAAUGUUUGAGAAUUCAUGAGGUCGAUCCUUCAAAAGUUCUUCCAGGAUGGGAAAUCAGUAAGAGAAUAGCGAGCUUGGAGAAAGAAAUCUCUGAAUUCAAUAAGCAGAUACUACCUGAUAAGAAGAUAGCACAUGGAUCGCAUAAGAGGAAAAAGGAUGGAAAUGUGUGGUUGAGAAACAAAGAAGUGAAACACUCGCAUCCUUCAAAUCCAUGGCCGCCACAACAUCACAGAGUUGCUAGUAAUGUCAUUAACAAUAACACCUUGUUUGAAGGUGGUGUAACUGCUGGCCUCAAUUAUGAUUAUUUUAUGCCACCUUUGGUAUUGCAUGGACCUGUUGAGGGCUCAAUUCAUGAAAAUGUUGGUUAUUCGCUGGCAGGACCUGUGAGAGGUGUGGCCAUUGGUGGACCUGGAGCAGGUAUGUCAGCUAAUAGUAUUCAUGCAGGCAUGGAUGUUGUCCCGCAAGGAGUUCCAUAUGCUGGUCAUGGAGGGAGUCGAGUUGAUAGCAUACCCGGGCUAAUAGGAAGUCAUGCUGGUCAAUUUUAUGGAUCCGCUUAUAGGCCAUCA